Molecule: ribosomal RNA, 476 nt
Filed under: uncultured bacterium
Lineage: Bacteria
Description: bacterial SSU rRNA
Rfam family: Bacterial small subunit ribosomal RNA
Source: RNAcentral
ACCUCUUUUAGUUCGGGAAGAAGCGAAGUGACGGUACCACCAGAAGAAGUACCGGCUAACUACGUGCCAGCAGCCGCGGUAAUACGUAGGGUGCAAGCGUUGUCCGGAAUUAUAGGGCGUAAAGAGCUCGUAGGCGGUUUAGUCGCGUCUGCUGUGAAAAUCCAAGGCUCAACCUUGGACCUGCAGUGGGUACGGGCAAGCUAGAGUGCGGUAGGGGAGAAGGGAAUACCUGGUGUAGCGGUGGAAUGCGCAGAUAUCAGGAGGAACACCAAUGGCGAAGGCACUACUCUGAGCCGUAACUGACGCUGAGGAGCGAAAGCGUGAGGAGCGAACAGGAUUAGAUACCCUGGUAGACCACACCGUAAACAGUGGGUGCUAAUAGUGGGUCACAUUCCACGUGAUCCGUGACGCAGAUAACGCAUUAAGCACACCGACUGGGGAGUACAGUCGCAAGACUAAAACUCAAAGGAAUAGAC